This is a long non-coding RNA of Solanum pennellii, 1198 nucleotides long. RefSeq lists it as uncharacterized. The record is from RefSeq and is a predicted model, not a curated record. Lineage: Eukaryota; Viridiplantae; Streptophyta; Magnoliopsida; Solanales; Solanaceae. The transcript has 2 exons.
CUACCUUUUAACUCCUAAUUCUACCCAAACCAUUUCAUUCUCUCAAAUACCCAAUUUCUAUCAAACUUCAUUCUUUGAAGGAAGAAAUCUAGGGUUCCAGCUUCAAAUCUCCCUUUUCCUCCAUUGCUUUUGGGAUUUUUUUUUAAUCAAGAUUUUUACCUACACUGUCUAAUAAUUUAGGGCCUAACAAUCUUCAUCAUCCGGCUCGUGGCUAGUAGAUUGUCUUGUAGAUCAAAGACUUGGUUAGUCCUUGUACAUUGAUGGACAUGUAACCUAUGUGUGUUGUCAUUUUUAUUCUUAUGUUUUCAGACAUUGUAUUUGGUGUAUGGGUUACGUGUAAACCACUCUUUGCUUUACUAGAUAAAGAAGAGAGGAUAGUUGAUGUGGGUCCUCUUCAUUGAAAGAAACUUAAGGGGGCUUUCCAUAAAUGAUUCUUUCCUCUUGAGAUGAUAGAAACAAAUGUGAUUGAGAUCAUUUAUCUUUGUCAAGGAAAUAUGAAUAUGAAGGAGCAUUAUUUGAAGUUCUCUCAAUUUUCUAAGUGUGCUCCAACUAUGGUUGCUGAUUUAAGGAAAGAAUGAGUAAGUUUGUGUAAGGUGUUUCCAAUUUGGUUGUCAAAGAAUGUUUUACCACUAUGUUAAUUAAUUGCAUGGCUAUCUCCCAUUUGAUUAUAUAUUCCACACAAUAUGAAGAGGAAAAUCUCAAGGAAAGUCCAUGAUAUUCCAAGAGGGAGAGGACUAAUGAGGGUGAAUUUGAUCAUCGUAGGUCCGCUAGACUUGGGAGUCUUUUAUUCUGGUAGAAGUUUUUUGGUCAGAGUUAUUCUAUGUCUCCAACCUCUGAGUUCAAAAAAAUUGGUUGUAUAAUCCAAAACCUCAAAGAGGUAGUUGUAAGGGAUCCUUUACAUCUAAUUGCAGUAGGCAUGGUGAAAAAUAUGAUGGAAAAUGGUUGGCUGGUACGAAUGGUUGAUUUAGUUGAGGAAAGAGUGGCACAAAUAGAAGAAUUGUCCAUUGCAAGCAAGGAAGUUUAAGGAUGGAAGACAAUCUCAACCUAGUGGUUCCAUAUCGAUUGCUCCUAAUCAAAACAUGUUUUGUGCCUUCAAAAUCAGUAGGAUCAUGAGGGAUCUCUGUAUGUUACUAUGUAAAAAGUCUUUCACCUCGAUGCUUAUGCUUAAUUUGAUAUGGCUACUACGUUAUGAUUUUUA